RNAcentral lists this ribosomal RNA (253 nucleotides) under uncultured bacterium. Its description in RNAcentral is "partial 16S ribosomal RNA". It matches the Rfam family "Bacterial small subunit ribosomal RNA", at positions 524 to 776 of the family's 1533-position model. The record is from RNAcentral.
UACGGAGGGGGCUAGCGUUGUUCGGAAUUACUGGGCGUAAAGCGCACGUAGGCGGCUUUGUAAGUUAGAGGUGAAGGCCCGGGGCUCAACUCCGGAAUUGCCUUUAAGACUGCAUCGCUAGAAUUGUGGAGAGGUAAGUGGAAUUCCUGGUGUAGAGGUGAAAUUCGUAGAUAUCAGGAGGAACACCAGUGGCGAAGGCGGCUUCCUGGACACCAACUGACGCUGAGACGCGAAAGCGUGGGGAGCAAACAGG